Molecule: ribosomal RNA, 253 nt
Filed under: uncultured bacterium
Lineage: Bacteria
Description: partial 16S ribosomal RNA
Rfam family: Bacterial small subunit ribosomal RNA
Source: RNAcentral
GACGUAGGGGGCCAGCGUUGUUCGGAAUUACUGGGGGUAAAGGGUUCGUAGGCGGUGUGGCAAGUCGGGAGUGAAAUCUCUGGGCUCAACCCAGAGUCUGCUUCCGAAACUGCUGUGCUUGAGUGUGGGAGAGGCGCGUGGAAUUGCAGGUGUAGCGGUGAAAUGCGUAGAUAUCUGCAGGAACACCCGUGGCGAAAGCGGCGCGCUGGACCACUACUGACGCUGAGGAACGAAAGCUAGGGGAGCAAACAGG